This 409-nucleotide ribosomal RNA is filed under the name uncultured bacterium. Its description in RNAcentral is "bacterial SSU rRNA". It matches the Rfam family "Bacterial small subunit ribosomal RNA", at positions 354 to 777 of the family's 1533-position model. The record is from RNAcentral.
GUGGGGAAUAUUGGGCAAUGGGCGAAAGCCUGACCCAGCAACGCCGCGUGAAGGAAGAAGGCUUUCGGGUUGUAAACUUCUUUUGUCAGGGACGAAGCAAGUGACGGUACCUGACGAAUAAGCCACGGCUAACUACGUGCCAGCAGCCGCGGUAAUACGUAGGUGGCAAGCGUUAUCCGGAUUUACUGGGUGUAAAGGGCGUGUAGGCGGGACUGCAAGUCAGAUGUGAAAACUCAGGGCUCAACCCUGAGCCUGCAUUUGAAACUGUAGUUCUUGAGUACUGGAGAGGCAGACGGAAUUCCUAGUGUAGCGGUGAAAUGCGUAGAUAUUAGGAGGAACACCAGUGGCGAAGGCGGUCUGCUGGACAGCAACUGACGCUGAGGCGCGAAAGCGUGGGGAGCAAACAGGA